Molecule: RNA transcript, 2984 nt
Organism: Dreissena polymorpha
Lineage: Eukaryota; Metazoa; Mollusca; Bivalvia; Myida; Dreissenidae
Exons: 10
Source: RefSeq, a predicted model, not a curated record
AAUACUGAUGUUUUAUUUAAAUUAAACAAUUAUUGAAAUGCAGUCAACAUUUAAAAAAAAAUAAUCUGCAUUUCAUUUAUUAUUUGGUAACAAAAUUUAAUAUAUUUUUACAUAAAUUGAAAUUAAUCACCUGUCCAGGUUUUCAGUUUACAAAUAUGCCCCUGGAUUGAGAAUAUGAAGUGAAGAUAUGUAUUAAUUAUUUCCCCCGGCUAAUUGGGGUAUAUAGGAAUCACCUUGGACAGACGUCUGUCUGUCUUGGACAGACGUCUGUCUGUCUUUUCAUAUGUCUGUGGGCGUUCACUUAAAAUUCAACGUUAAGCAUUCAAACUUUCAGGUAUUGUUUAAUCUCAUACAAGGUUGUGCAUGUACAUUUUGUAUCAUAAUACUCUAAAAAUUACAAAACUUAGAAAUUCUAUAACCUCUGCUACAUAGACUUGUGGCAUUGGGGGAUAUUCUAUGUAACAAUGGUUACAAAUUAUUGUUUGACUAGACAGCAAUUACACUUUUUGAGCUGAUUAAGCAUUUUCCAGUAAUAUUUAUAAGGAUUAGAAAAUGUUGUUCUAAGUAUUUUGGAAAAAAAAGCCAUAUUGUGCUUUUGGAUUGAGUCAGCCACAUAACUUGUUAAUUUAAUAAUUUAAUGGUCAUGAAAUAAUUUCUAUGGUCAUUCUCUCUCUGAUUCUAGUAUGGCAAUUGUCUGUUACUGGCAUAAGUAUAUGUACUCAGUAAGGCCAGGAAAAGGUUAAUUUAAUGACCACACUACUAUGACUAAAAUGCAUUUUUAUGUGUGUAGAGGUCAAUUAAAAAAUUAUAAAAUUCCUGUACUUUUUAGCUGUUUCAUACAGGACCCCGUACAAUCACAGAUUGGUGCCCAGCUGAACAACAGACUCUCUCACUUAAGCCAGGCCUGAACGCAUGGGGUCACUUCCUGUGUAUGGGUGGCCAAAUGUCAAACUAGUACCAAUCUGUGCCCAAAAAGCAGCCGUAGCCGUGGGGGGCAGGUUCAUGAUGCAACCGUGGUCUCAUUGCUCUCUGAACAUCUCUUUCCCAACAGCAACAGUACAGCAACAUGACCUGGGUCAUACCGUUGCCAGUUCAAGCUUAGAGGACCAUGUUCCCCAAAUCCAAUGUGGCCCUAUAUCUCCACAGGUCUAGUUGUCUUGCUUACAACAAGAGUGCCCAAAAUUUGAUCAUGAUCAAGGAAGAAAGAAAGCCACAGGAUAAGACCCAAUAAGAACAAAUAGCUGCUUCAGCAUCAAUAGCCUAUCUCUGUACAAGGCUUUCAAAUGUAAUAUUGUAGUGACAUAGUAGACAUGUUGUCUUCCUAGCGACUGGGAGGUCAGGCUUGGAUCCUCACUCUUGGAGCAUUCUUAUAAGGAGUCCUCCAAAGACAUAAACUCUUCAAUUAUUUGACAACGCGGCAAUCAACAUGGUUCCAUUCCAGGAAUACCUCGCAGAGCUAAUGAACAGAGCCAGUGCGUAGAACAUGAUUUUCAGGAGGAAUAGGAACCUAGGCCCAAUAUCAACCUGGUUCCAAUCUCGCGAAGAUGUCCACCGGCCGCCCCCUAGCACAAGCCUCGUUAGCCCCAAGGUGUUGUCAUGAUGCCCCUGGACAACAGCUCUUGUUGGGCUCUUCCCAAUAGCAGUAGAUCAACAUGGCAUAUCAGCAUGAUGCCCCAAACCAGCGCUUCAUAUUUAGCUACCAGCAGUAUCCAUGCAACCAAACCUUGAUCACUCAGCAACAGAUAAAUCAGCAGCAGGGAUGGAGUUAGCCGUUUCAACGUCUGCUCAGUUGCCUCUCAGAGCCAGUCGGCUUGCUGUGUUGCUUAGCCAAUCCACUACUUAUGUCGCAGCACAAUAUCUCAUCUGGAUCCAUUCCACUGCUGGCGCAACAGCAGGUCUGUUCUCUGUACAGAGCCGUUUCUAUGAUGAUGAAGUCCUACAACUCGCCCAGUAUUUGCUUUUGCGUCAGGGUCAGGUUCAAGGCCUCAUGGGCUUUGGUGGUCUGGGCAAGAUGGGAAUGUUAGACAGCAACAACAACAGUUAAGAAAAUAGCAACAGCAUAAUAGACAGACACAGCAGCAAUGGCCACAGCACCAACAAUAGCAGCAACAGAUGAUGGCUUAGCUUCAUCAGCAACAGCAGAAGCAACAAGAUCUUACGUCCAUGGACCAUUUAGAUGUCACUUUAGAAAUUCAGAAGAUCUUUAUGAAAGAAUAAACAUGGAUUGCAUGGCAUUGAGUUUGGUUUGGAAGCAGUUACUAUCGCAGAACUCGAGCCAGCAAAGGUCAUUCUCACAGGAAUCCAGUAUCUCCAUGGUGCAGGACCCACAGUCUAUGAACGUUGUGGAGCUUGAACCUUGGACGCCAAUUGAAAAAUAUCCAAACCGUCCAAUCAGAAAGACAGUCUGUUGCAGCAGUUAUUCAAACCUAGGAUGCUUAGUGAUAAACAUAAAUAAACACAUGCUAGUCCCUAAGUGCCUGCAUUGGCUGUUUUAAAGCCUUGCUGUCCAUUCUGAACACUUAAAUGGAAGCUCUCACCUUAGAAUUUUGGGAUAGGUCGAAACCCAGUGGCAUGGUGCAGACUAACAUCGCAGAAUGACAAAGAAGUACAAGCCUGUGACCAGCAAUAAACUAAUGUGGCCAGCUAUGUUGUGUCAUGUGACCAGCCAAGCUGUGUGUAAAGAGAAAACUAUAGUUCAUAUCUUGUGGGAUUUAUGACGCUUUAAGUGAUUUGCUGUUAUAUGUUUUUGUGAUAUAUAUAGUUAAUUAUAAUCAAGUGAAGAUUACUUGUUUAAAGUGAUUAUGUAAAGUAUUAUUUUAAGUUCAAAAGAGUGCAAGCCUGUGUUGCUACUUUGUCUGUAUUCGAAAGUUUGAUCAAGAUGUUGGUAAAACAUAGAACAUAAACAUAUUUUUUAUUACAUUGAUUUAAAACUUAAGCAAAGUUGUUUAACUAAUAUUGUUAACUUGAAUAAAUUUUCAAACAUU